Molecule: ribosomal RNA, 497 nt
Filed under: uncultured bacterium
Lineage: Bacteria
Description: partial 16S ribosomal RNA
Rfam family: Bacterial small subunit ribosomal RNA
Source: RNAcentral
GAUGAACGCUGGCGGCGUGCCUAAUACAUGCAAGUCGAGCGAACGGACGAGAAGCUUGCUUCGCUGAUGUUAGCGGCGGACGGGGGAGGAACACGUGGAUAACCUACCUAUAAGACUGGGAUAACUUCGGGAAACCGGAGCUAAGACCGGAUGAUAUUUUGAACCGCAUGGUUCAAAAGUGAAAGACGGUCUUGCUGUCACUGAUAGAUGGAUCCGCGCUGCAUUAGCUAGUUGGUAAGGUAACGGCUUACCAAGGCAACGAUGAAUAGCCGACCUGAGAGGGUGAUCGGCCACACUGGAACUGAGACACGGUCCAGACUCCUACGGGAGGCAGCAGUAGGGAAUCUUCCGCAAUGGGCGAAAGCCUGACGGAGCAACGCCGCGUGAGUGAUGAAGGUCUUCGGAUCGUAAAACUCUGUUAUUAGCGAAGAACAUAUGUGUAAGUAACUGUGCACAUCUUGACGGUACCUAAUCAGAAAGCCACGGCUAACUACGUG